RNAcentral lists this transfer RNA (75 nucleotides) under Candidatus Endolissoclinum faulkneri L2. Its description in RNAcentral is "tRNA-Gly (GCC) (tRNA-Gly-GCC-1-1)". It matches the Rfam family "tRNA". Rfam says of the family: Transfer RNA (tRNA) molecules are approximately 80 nucleotides in length. Their secondary structure includes four short double-helical elements and three loops (D, anti-codon, and T loops). Lineage: Bacteria; Pseudomonadati; Pseudomonadota; Alphaproteobacteria; Rhodospirillales; Rhodospirillaceae. The record is from RNAcentral.
GCGGGCGUAGCUCAGUGGUAGAGCACAACCUUGCCAAGGUUGGUGUCGUGAGUUCGACUCUCAUCGUCCGCUCCA